AGGCUUGCUCGAGUUACGCCCCGAUCCUCAGGUGGCUCCUCCUUGAAGGUGUCGGCGGAGGGUCGGGUGUUUCUCGUCUCGCGUUGGGACGACGCAUGAGUGGCAUUCAGGACGUGAUCCCAGUGCAGGCUCCAUUGCUUCGUGCAUCGAACUGCCCCGGUCUGUCCGUUUCAUUAGUUGGUUCGCCACGGCCCUCACGGGGUCGGUUGCGGCCGCACGGCGGGUUCCUGUUCUCGAUAUUCGGACAAGGCUUAGCUGGAUGGAUCAUUGUCCCCGUCUUGGUUCCCUCGAUCCGACCCUCGGUAUCCUUGGAGUCGGUGGAUAUCAUCUUGCGGGCAUCCGACGUUGUCCAUCGAGGGAGCGUGUCCCCUUUUGGGCGCUUCUUCUCGUGUUUGGGCGUCGGUGCGACCGUCGGGCAUUCUCUCGAGUACGGUGAUUUCGUUGGUUAUCGCAUCGGUCCUCGUCGGCCGUCGAGAUCUCGUCGCGUCGAAGCGCUGACCCUUCCCCUCGCGAGAACCUCGUGCUUCGGCAAAGGGCUCACGGAGCUUCGCCGUUUCGUGAUCGUCCUGGGGAGGCAUCGAGGUCCACGGAGGAACACGUUACCUGGUUGAUCC
This 614-nucleotide unclassified non-coding RNA is filed under the name Comolia vernicosa. RNAcentral describes it as "partial may contain 26S ribosomal RNA, external transcribed spacer, 18S ribosomal RNA". Lineage: Eukaryota; Viridiplantae; Streptophyta; Magnoliopsida; Myrtales; Melastomataceae. The record is from RNAcentral.